GGAUUACUGAACUUCAUUGAUGGACUCUGGUUAUGAAGAUGAAGAAAGCUGUUUGUAGAAGUUGAUUGAGCGUCAUAAGGUUGCAAAGUAGAGAUGCAAGCAAGGAAAAUGGGCAAGAAAAGGUAGAAGAUGAAGAAGUAGAUAUUCCUAACAUGUAGAGAACAGGAAGGUGGUGGUGGUGAUGAUGAUGAUGAUGAUGAUGAUGAGAAGGAAAAGGAGAAAGAAGAAGAUGAUGAUAUAAUAAUAGUAAAGUGACUCUAUCUGGAUUACUGAACUUCAUUAAUGGACUCUGGUUAUGAAGAUGAAGAAAGCUGUUUGUAGAAGUUGAUUGGGGGGUCCUAAGGUUGCAAAGGAGAGAUGCAAGCAAGAGAAAUGGGCAAGAAAAGGUAGAAGAUGAAGAAGUAGAUAUUCCUAACAUUUUUAUAUUUAGAUGAAAUAUACGCAUCAUUCACAAUUUAAGUCCUAUAUAAACACAUAAACCAAUCAUAACACACAAACUCCUGUCUAAACCUACAAAAACUCAUGACUCGAUGGGGAGCUAAUUACCUUUAUUUAUGUAACAUACACCUUCUACCAACUAAUGAAAAAGGCAAAAGAAAGUAGAUUCCAUUUUCAAAUAUUGGCAUGCUUUGAUUAUGGUCCCAUAUUAUAUACAAACUGCAUAUGAAAGUCAAAAAUAAAAGUGAAUCAAUCACAUUUACAAAAUUUUCGCUAGCUUUAUAUUUUUUCAUAGUAUACAUAUCUAAGUAAUAUUAAGCAUAAUAAUUGAUAAAGAUAAGCUAAUUCAUUUGACCCACCAAAAAAAAAAAAAAAUCUUUAUAACAUUUAACCAAAAUGGUAACUAUAAGAAAGAUCCUAAAACCUAAACCCUGGCUCCUUGUAUCAGAAAAUUUGAGAUUAAAGUUUAGGGUAAAUACAUCUUGAAUGGUCCUCUUGAGGCAGUGUUGAAGUAACCAUUCAUGCUUCAAUCUCAAGGCUUUUUGAAGGAGACUUGAUGGAUCCCAUUGAAAUGUCAAUCUCAAUCAAGUUUUCAUCUUCAUUGAUCUCUGCUAACAGCUCCCUUAUCUCCUCUUGCCUGAAAAUUGAAUCUGGCAAGAAACUUUGCAGUUUUUGCUUUGGU
RNAcentral lists this long non-coding RNA (1120 nucleotides) under Carica papaya (papaya). Its description in RNAcentral is "long non-coding RNA (CPAP_LNC011785)". Lineage: Eukaryota; Viridiplantae; Streptophyta; Magnoliopsida; Brassicales; Caricaceae. The record is from RNAcentral.